UUGAUGCAAUGCAUCUUAUAAAGGGAUACAUUGCUGCCACUGUUGGUGGUGGAGGGCUUGAAUGUUUAAGAUGGUGAUAUGUGGCGCUGAUCAUGCAGGCAGUUGGCAUUUCCCAUUCUAGUUUUAUGGUUGCUUACCCUGUUUACGAUUCAUAAGUUCCUGACCUCUAGAUUUGAUUUGCUGCUGUUUUAAUUUGAAUUAAUUAGCAAGGUGUGACAGUGAAAUAUUUACAUUGAUUGUACUUCACAUGCUUGUCUACACAAUCCACUUUCAGCUGAUAGGAUCACAGCUCUGCCCAAAAUUGAAGCCCAGGCUAUUUUCGUGAGGCUGAGGCCUUCAACUUAAAAACCUUUAAAUCUGAAUAUAAACAUGUUACUGUGAAAUAUGUAAUAUUUACAUUUUUUUUUUUUAGAAUCCUAUUUUGGAAAAAUUUCAGUUAGAGGAAAAUUGGUGAGCAAUUGUUUUUCAGAAAACAUGAUUAUUUGUGGGGAAAAAAUAUAACUGCACUGCGUGGUGGCAUUACCAACUUGCCAAAUAGAGACUACAUGGGCUGCCCUCCUCUUAUCCACCUCUCAUCAAUGCUACACCAAUUGCAAUCUUUCUUUGCCAGCCACAUCAAGACUGAUAAAUUGUUAAUCUUUUGUAAACCAAUUGUUCACACCCAAGCAAGAAGCUUUUCUAUUGAUAACCAUGUGGAAAGUCUACUCUUCAAUAAUUUGUGUGUGAAUAUGUUCACUGCUUGAAGAAUGGACCUAACAGCCCACCUGCCGGGGAUGAAGUCUCUCUAAUUUAAUGUCAUUGUAAUAUUGCUUAUGAAUAAAGCCAUCUUUAACCAAA
This is a long non-coding RNA of Carcharodon carcharias (great white shark), 837 nucleotides long. RefSeq lists it as uncharacterized. The record is from RefSeq and is a predicted model, not a curated record. NCBI's taxonomy places the organism in Eukaryota, Metazoa, Chordata, Chondrichthyes, Lamniformes, Lamnidae. The transcript has 2 exons.